This 504-nucleotide ribosomal RNA is filed under the name Ammothea clausi. RNAcentral's name for it is "partial 16S ribosomal RNA". The stretch from base 376 to 504 matches the Rfam family "Bacterial large subunit ribosomal RNA", at positions 2473 to 2600 of the family's 2925-position model. Lineage: Eukaryota; Metazoa; Arthropoda; Pycnogonida; Pantopoda; Ammotheidae. The record is from RNAcentral.
UUUUAAUGAUUAUAAAUAUUAAAUUUGCCCUGCCCAAUGAUUAAGUGUUUAAUGGCCGCAGUAAAUUGACUGUGCAAAGGUAGCAUAAUAAUUUGUCUUUUAAUUGAGGACUGGAAUGAAUGGGUGGACGUAAAAAUUACUGUCUCUGUAUUUAUAAAUUGAAUUUUACUUCUAAGUUAAAAGGCUAGUAUUUAAAUAGAUUUUAUUAAGGGACGAAAAGACCCUGUCAAGUUUUAUAAUAUUUUAAAUUAUUUUCAUUAAUUAUUUUUAAUGUUAUUUUUCUGGGGUGGAAUUAAUAUAAAACUAUUAAAAAUUUUAUAAUUAAGGAAUUUAUUAAUGAUCUUUUAUUAUUACUAAUUAAUAAAUUACUGCAGGGGUAACAGCAUAAUUAUUUUGGUAAGUUCAAAUUUAUAAAAUAGAUUAUGACCUCGAUGUUGGAUUAAAUUUACCUAAAAUAAUGAAGAAGUUUUUAAGGUUAGCCUGUUCGACUAUUAAAAAUUUACA